RNAcentral lists this ribosomal RNA (339 nucleotides) under uncultured Sphingopyxis sp. Its description in RNAcentral is "bacterial SSU rRNA". It matches the Rfam family "Bacterial small subunit ribosomal RNA", at positions 468 to 806 of the family's 1533-position model. The record is from RNAcentral. Lineage: Bacteria; Pseudomonadati; Pseudomonadota; Alphaproteobacteria; Sphingomonadales; Sphingopyxidaceae.
AAUGACAGUACCGGGAGAAUAAGCCCCGGCUAACUCCGUGCCAGCAGCCGCGGUAAUACGGAGGGAGCUAGCGUUGUUCGGAAUUACUGGGCGUAAAGUGUGCGUAGGCGGUUAUUCAAGUCAGAGGUGAAAGCCUGGAGCUCAACUCCAGAACUGCCUUUGAAACUAGAUAACUAGAAUCUUGGAGAGGUGAGUGGAAUUCCGAGUGUAGAGGUGAAAUUCGUAGAUAUUCGGAAGAACACCAGUGGCGAAGGCGACUCACUGGACAAGUAUUGACGCUGAGGCACGAAAGCGUGGGGAGCAAACAGGAUUAGAUACCCUGGUAGUCCACGCCGUAAA